GGGCUCUAUUCUUGGAAGUUGUACUGAUGUUAUUCUGUUAUUGUCCAGUUCACUAUUGGUCAUAGUGUAGGAGUUCCUUAGUGGUUAAAUCCUAGUCACAUCAUUGGAGGAAUAAUGUAAUGAUUACGAUAAACAAACAAUUUUUAUACAUUCCCAUAUGGCCAUUGGCCAGUGGGGUAAACUAUCUCUCAUUGGACUCUUCAUACAGUAUAUUGUUUAUUAAAACAUGUCCAUGCUAGGUACUGUAGAUACUAGGCUUCCCUACUCAUGCUAGGUACUGUAGAUACUACUAGGCUUCCCUACUCAUGCUAGGUACUGUAGAUACUACUAGGCUUCCCUACUCAUGCUAGGUACUGUAGAUACUAGGCUUCCCUACUCAUGCUAGGUACUGUAGAUACUA
Molecule: long non-coding RNA, 400 nt
Organism: Oncorhynchus tshawytscha (Chinook salmon)
Lineage: Eukaryota; Metazoa; Chordata; Actinopteri; Salmoniformes; Salmonidae
Source: Ensembl